This 287-nucleotide long non-coding RNA is filed under the name Nicotiana benthamiana. RNAcentral's name for it is "long non-coding RNA (NBEN_LNC019275)". Lineage: Eukaryota; Viridiplantae; Streptophyta; Magnoliopsida; Solanales; Solanaceae. The record is from RNAcentral.
UUGAUGAAUGACAAACAAUGAAGUCAAGUGUAUAAUCAAAUGGUGAGAAGCAUACUGAUGACGGAAUUGCAUGAACAAGCUAAAGAAGUUCAAGACCGAAUACCCAAGACGUAGGUCGUUUGGUAGAACCAAUGUACGGACAACGUUUAAGUUAUCUUAUCCUUUGGCUCAACAUUAGGUCAUCAUAAACAUGCAUACAAUUACUUUAUUAAAUUAUAUAUAUCAUAAAUAUUUUUAAUAUAUACUUCAAACAAAAUGAUUUUAACGUUUUCAUUUCAACCAAAAUG